GCCCAUUGCAGCCAAUGACACAGUGGUAUUCCUUGCAGCAUGAGAUGGUGCAGAAUUGAGUAAAAUAUUCAAAACAAAUCAAACAAUAAAAGAUGGAUUUUGUUGUGCAAUCUGGUAUAAACGUAUCACAGUCAGUGAUGAUUACUGGUGCUACUAAUACCAACGCCGACGAAGAAAUACUUGAUUGCUUAAGUAGCUAUGGCAAACUUAAUCGCACUUUGUAUGUAAUUGAUUCCUCAAGCACUUUUUUUGAAAACCUGAUCGUUGAGUUUGCGGAUCUAACUGCUUUUUCCGCGUUACAACCGCUUCUACCUUAUACUUACGCCUCUAAAACGAAUACUGAUCUUGUGUUCCGUGUCACUGCUUUGGUGCUCGAGUACGCAGCCACAGUGGACAGCAGCAGCAGCAAUCAGCCCAACUACAUCGCUGAACUUAAGAAAAUCGCUGAUCAAAGCGGCCAUCGUUUUGAAGAUGUCCUGAAGACAGUAAUGAGCCAGAUUGGCCAACAUUUGCAUGCAGCAGGAGCAGAUGGAGGUGAUAAUGACGAUGAUGAUGAUGAUGAUGAAGAUGACUAUGACGAUGACAUUGAUGAGAAGGAUAGAGAAGGAUAGAGUAAAGGUAAAAGGUCAGGUUUUUUCCCACCCCCUGUGUCACGUCAGGAUGGCGAGCUACCGGAUCACCGCAGCUUCGCGGUAGGAUUUAAGUGAACCAAGCUAUCUUUUCAUUCUGGACCUAUUUGCUCUGGAUCUUGGGAAAAAAAGAAAACAAUCAGAUAU
This is a long non-coding RNA of Xiphophorus hellerii (green swordtail), 776 nucleotides long. RefSeq lists it as uncharacterized. The record is from RefSeq and is a predicted model, not a curated record. The transcript is spliced from 2 exons. Lineage: Eukaryota; Metazoa; Chordata; Actinopteri; Cyprinodontiformes; Poeciliidae.